This 499-nucleotide ribosomal RNA is filed under the name uncultured bacterium. RNAcentral's name for it is "partial 16S ribosomal RNA". It matches the Rfam family "Bacterial small subunit ribosomal RNA", at positions 28 to 507 of the family's 1533-position model. The record is from RNAcentral.
GACGAACGCUGGCGGCGUGCCUAAUACAUGCAAGUCGAGCGAAGUUUUUCUGGUGCUUGCUCUAGAAAAACUUAGCGGCGAACGGGUGAGUAACACGUAAAGAACCUGCCUCAUAGACUGGGACAACUAUUGGAAACGAUAGCUAAUACCGGAUAACAGUAUUUCUCGCAUGAGAGAUAUUUAAAAGUUGGUUAUGCUAACACUAUGAGAUGGCUUUGCGGUGCAUUAGCUAGUUGGUGGGGUAAAGGCCCACCAAGGCGACGAUGCAUAGCCGACCUGAGAGGGUGAUCGGCCACACUGGGACUGAGACACGGCCCAGACUCCUACGGGAGGCAGCAGUAGGGAAUCUUCCGCAAUGGGCGAAAGCCUGACGGAGCAACGCCGCGUGAGUGAAGAAGGACUUCGGUUCGUAAAGCUCUGUUGUUAGGGAAGAAUGGAUAUGUAGUAACUAUACAUGUAAGAGACGGUACCUAACCAGAAAGCCACGGCUAACUACGUG